This 406-nucleotide ribosomal RNA is filed under the name uncultured bacterium. RNAcentral's name for it is "partial 16S ribosomal RNA". It matches the Rfam family "Bacterial small subunit ribosomal RNA", at positions 28 to 526 of the family's 1533-position model. The record is from RNAcentral.
GACGAACGCUGGAGGCAGGCUUAACACAUGCAAGUCGAGCGAGCGGCGGACGGGUGAGUAAUGUCUGGGAAACUGCCUGAUGGAGGGGGAUAACUACUGGAAACGGUAGCUAAUACCGCAUACCAUCGGAGGUGCCCAGAUGGGAUUAGCUAGUAGGUGGGGUAUAGGCUCACCUAGGCGACGAUCCCUAGCUGGUCUGAGAGGAUGACCAGCCACACUGGAACUGAGACAUGGUCCAGACUCCUACGGUAGGCAGCAGUGGGGAAUAUUGCACAAGGGGCGCAAGCCGGAUGCAGCCAUGCCGCGUAUAUGAAGAAGGCCUUCGGGUUGAAAAGUACUUUCAGCGGGGAGGCGUUACCCGAAGAAGAAGCACCGGCUAACUCCGUGCCAGCAGCCGCGGUAAUAC